UUUUGUUCCUAAAUGGAUGAGACAUACCUACAAGAUCAGAUUCAGCAUAGAGAUGUUACAGGAAAUUCUUGUGCCUCUCAGCUAUCUUUCAGAGCAGAUCCAGUAAUUCACUGCACUGGUAACAUAUUUCUCUCUGCUUUAGGAUCCUUGAGUGGGGAAACAUAAUAAAGGGAUGACUAAAGGAGGAUGGAUGUUCAGGAGUCUGCACAGAUGUACCACACCUGACUGGACCUGUCUCCCACAUGGAUUUUUUGAGUGAUGAGAGGACCAAGAGUCAUUUCUUCAGAUGAAUUUUUGUAAUCAAAUUUUUCCUAAAUAAAUGAUAU
Molecule: long non-coding RNA, 326 nt
Filed under: Numida meleagris (helmeted guineafowl)
Lineage: Eukaryota; Metazoa; Chordata; Aves; Galliformes; Numididae
Description: lncRNA (ENSNMEG00000000436.1)
Source: RNAcentral